GGUUGACCUCGGAUCAGGUAGGGAUACCCGCUGAACUUAAGCAUAUCAAUAAGCGGAGGAAAAGAAACCAACAGGGAUUGCCCCAGUAACGGCGAGUGAAGCGGCAAGAGCUCAAAUUUGAAAGCUGGCUCCUUC
Molecule: ribosomal RNA, 135 nt
Filed under: Penicillium roqueforti
Lineage: Eukaryota; Fungi; Ascomycota; Eurotiomycetes; Eurotiales; Aspergillaceae
Description: partial 28S ribosomal RNA
Rfam family: Eukaryotic large subunit ribosomal RNA
Source: RNAcentral